Zingiber officinale is the source of this 1106-nucleotide long non-coding RNA. RefSeq lists it as uncharacterized. The transcript has 3 exons. Lineage: Eukaryota; Viridiplantae; Streptophyta; Magnoliopsida; Zingiberales; Zingiberaceae. The record is from RefSeq and is a predicted model, not a curated record.
GUGCAGGAGAGCAUGAGCUAGAGGCGGAGAGGCAGGAUUCUUGAGUGGACUGUAUUGAAGCAAGGCACUUGACCCAGUGACCCCUACAUUUUUCGACGCUAUUUGGAGCGAAAAUGGAGUAAAAACGCACACAGGAGCUUGGGCCGUGUAGGCCACACGACCGUGUGGCCAUUAGCAUGUUCAACCCGUGCCAAAUGGCAUGGCGGUGCCUGGAAUACAGAUUUGAAGAGGACCACGACCGUGUGAGACACACGGUCGUGCCAACAUCCAGUGGCCAAGCAACACACGGCCGUGCCAACGAUCCAGAGGAGAGAAAGGUCACGGUUGUGUGAAUCCACACGGCUGUGUGACCUCGGCAGAAAAGAAAAAGGCCACGGCCGUGUGAGCCACAUGGCCAUGUGAUUCUAUCCGAGAAGAAGCCGUGUGAGGCCAUGUGGAUUCCACACGGCAGUGUGACGAAGAACACAGGCCAUGCCACGCCAAAACAGGGCUGUGCUGAAUUCUGGGCAGAUUGCAGACUGUUUGUAAUUUGGUGAUAACUUUGUGCUACGUUGGAGUUUUGGGAUGUUCUUUAUACCAAAACGUAGCUGACUUCAAGAUCUACAACUUUCCUUCAUAUCCAACAGAGAGAAAACAUUGUCUGCCCAUGCUAAAUGGCACGGCCGUGCCUCUCAACCGCGGGUUCAACUGGACCUCCGCCCAGACUGCAGACCAAACUUUGAACCGCCAUAACUUUCGGGUCAGUUGGAGCCAGGGCUCGAUACAAGUAUUAUAUUGAAGAUAAUUUUAAGAGCUACAACUUUGUUUCAGGCUUGGAGGAGGUAUAAAAGGGUCAAGAACCCUAUUCUUGGGGCAUCUUUGGUUUGGGAUUUUGUCCCUCUACUUGGGAUUUUGUCCCUCUAGAGGUUCAUUCACCGCCAUCCCUUGACGUUCUGUCCAUCUCCAGAGCAAGGAGGCAUCCCCAAGACAUCAGAAACCUCGGCAAGCAUCUCUUCUUCCCCUUCUUCUCACAUCAAGGGUUGUAAGUAUGCUUUACUUUAUGUUUUGGGGUUUUUCUUACCUCACAAUGGGUAGAUCUCCUUCUCUAUGGAUGUAGGGAGUAGUUU